Molecule: long non-coding RNA, 217 nt
Organism: Mya arenaria
Lineage: Eukaryota; Metazoa; Mollusca; Bivalvia; Myida; Myidae
Exons: 3
Source: RefSeq, a predicted model, not a curated record
CGACAAAUAAGAAUGGUAUUAAGUUGGUAGAAUGGAACUCCUUCCUGAUUCCUGCACAUGUAAGUUACCAGAUACUCUUGAGGGACCAAUUUAAGGGCAAACAGACAAACGUUUUGAUGCAAAGAAAGCAUUGGAUUUGAAAGUUCCCAUGGAGAAGAAAAAUGGAGAGAUUCUAAAAGUAUGAAGAUACUCCUGUGUAUAAUGAGGAAAUCUUGUC